Coregonus clupeaformis (lake whitefish) is the source of this 239-nucleotide long non-coding RNA. RefSeq lists it as uncharacterized. The record is from RefSeq and is a predicted model, not a curated record. The transcript has 3 exons. NCBI's taxonomy places the organism in Eukaryota, Metazoa, Chordata, Actinopteri, Salmoniformes, Salmonidae.
UCCACCCUCUCUCUCUGUUGAUCGGGGCUGCUGUGGGGGCAGGAGUGAUGAUGCUCCUAUGUAUCCCACUGCUUCUCAUCUGCAAGCAUAGGAGAGCCAGACAGUCACCAAACAAAACACAGAAGGACACAGCAGAAUUCAUAGUGACUGAUGAGACCCUCUCUCAGGAGGAGGACGAUGUAUAUGCCAAUAAAGCCAUGCUGGAGGAGGCCCUGGGGCCCAACAAGACAGUGGACAGG